GACGAACGCUGGCGGCGUGCUUAACACAUGCAAGUCGAACGGAAAGGCCCUGCUUUUGUGGGGUGCUCGAGUGGCGAACGGGUGAGUAACACGUGAGUAACCUGCCCUUGACUUUGGGAUAACUCCAGGAAACUGGGGCUAAUACCGGAUAGGAGCUCCUGCUGCAUGGUGGGGGUUGGAAAGUUUCGGCGGUUGGGGAUGGACUCGCGGCUUAUCAGCUUGUUGGUGGGGUAGUGGCUUACCAAGGCUUUGACGGGUAGCCGGCCUGAGAGGGUGACCGGGCACAAUGGGAAUGGGGAAACGGCCAAACUCCUACCGGGGGGAAGAGGGGGGAAUAUUGCACAAUGGGCGGAAGCCUGAUGCAGCAACGCCGCGUGCGGGAUGACGGCCUUCGGGUUGUAAACCGCUUUCGCCUGUGACGAAGCGUGAGUGACGGUAAUGGGUAAAGAAGCACCGGCUAACUACGUG
This 468-nucleotide ribosomal RNA is filed under the name uncultured bacterium. Its description in RNAcentral is "partial 16S ribosomal RNA". It matches the Rfam family "Bacterial small subunit ribosomal RNA", at positions 28 to 507 of the family's 1533-position model. The record is from RNAcentral.